UCACUUCCAACAACGGAUCUCUUGGUUCUCGCAUCGAUGAAGAACGUAGCAAAGUGCGAUAAGUAAUGUGAAUUGCAGAAUUCCGUGGAUCAUCGAAUUUUUGAACGCAAAUUGCACUCUUUUUACGAAGAGUAUGCCUGUUUGAGGGUCA
This 151-nucleotide ribosomal RNA is filed under the name uncultured Glomeraceae. Its description in RNAcentral is "5.8S ribosomal RNA". It matches the Rfam family "5.8S ribosomal RNA". From Rfam's summary of the family: 5.8S ribosomal RNA (5.8S rRNA) is a component of the large subunit of the eukaryotic ribosome. It is transcribed by RNA polymerase I as part of the 45S precursor that also contains 18S and 28S rRNA. Lineage: Eukaryota; Fungi; Glomeromycota; Glomeromycetes; Glomerales; Glomeraceae. The record is from RNAcentral.